This 74-nucleotide transfer RNA is filed under the name Candidatus Nealsonbacteria bacterium CG_4_9_14_0_8_um_filter_35_12. RNAcentral's name for it is "tRNA-Ala". It matches the Rfam family "tRNA". Rfam says of the family: Transfer RNA (tRNA) molecules are approximately 80 nucleotides in length. Their secondary structure includes four short double-helical elements and three loops (D, anti-codon, and T loops). The record is from RNAcentral. Lineage: Bacteria; Candidatus Nealsoniibacteriota.
GGGCCUGUAGUUUAAUGGCAGUACACUGCAUUCGCAUUGCAGAGAUGCGAGUUCAAUUCUCGCCGGGUCCACCC